This is a long non-coding RNA of Cyprinodon tularosa, 1526 nucleotides long. RefSeq lists it as uncharacterized. NCBI's taxonomy places the organism in Eukaryota, Metazoa, Chordata, Actinopteri, Cyprinodontiformes, Cyprinodontidae. The transcript is spliced from 4 exons. The record is from RefSeq and is a predicted model, not a curated record.
UUACAUUCUAAACAAACUUUACUAUGAAAAUGCAGGGUUUUGAGACGUACGCACAACGCAUGCGCACUGUGGCUACAACAGGACCGACUUUCUGUGUCCAGACGUCUGAGGAUCACAGAGCAACAUGUAGCACUUAAGUCAUUUCACAGAUCAAAGAGGAAUUCAGGAGAACAACAACCAUUCCAGUGGAUCAAACCAGGCAAAAACUUGACAAAUAGACACGAAAGCUGAUGAAAGCCAGGGGAGGAGUUUUGGGGCCCAAGACGAGUUUGCUCCUGGACCGACUGAGUCAGAAACAGAGCAUUGAGGUGAGAAGAGAAGCCAUUAUCUCCAGCCUUAUACUGUACCAUGGGAAGAAGGAAUAUGACUUUUUGAGGGCUGCUUGUUUACGAUGGCUAAAGCGAUGGCAGUGGUCAGAGGCCACUCUUCAAUAAACAACUGAAAAGAGAAAGAAGUUUGGUUAUUGGAGCGUCGUUGUCUGGCUGUCUAGCCGGCUGAAAAGUUGGGAAAACUCAGGGCGAGGACAGCACAGUGAUGUCAGUAACUCUGUUUUCAAAAUCUGACAGCUAUGAGAUUGUCCCAGGAUGCAAGAGUACAGCGAAAGCUUGUCCACUGCUUAUGGGACUGAUUUAUGCCCUGAACUGUGCAUACCCUCCUAUUUUGUGCUACACUUUUAAAGUCCUCUAAGAACUCUUGCUGGAGAUGGAUCAAUUUAAACUCUACACAAAAGAAAACACCCUGAAGUGAAAGUUACUGUCAUGAUUCUGUCUUCCUAGAGGAGGAAAAUAUUUCUGUAAUGAAUGUUUUAACUCUGACAGUGUUGUAAACUUUUCACUACAUAUUUCAAAAACACUGUUCCAGUUUGAAUGUAAAAUUUAUCACUGCCCCAUAAAGAAAUUUAGAAAUUGAAUUCACACUACUAUUGGAGUUACUUAUUUGUGAAGCCGUUUCUUUAAUGCAUAGAGUAUUGCUUCAUUUUAUUUGUAAACAUUUAUCCAGAGACAACUGGCAUCAAAUAUAUUGUUUUAGUGCGUAGUUUAACAUAAUGCAAAAAGUCAAAAAUGUUUACUUUAAUUUCAUGUCAUAAUUACAUGAAUUGCCUUUAAACCUUAAUGGCACAUUACUUAAUUAUGUACAAAAACUGGAAAUAUGUUAUAUUCUAUUGUAAACUUUAAGCUAUUGCCUUAUGUACUGGUAACUAGUUUUUACAUUUCAUUCCACUUUAAUAAAACUUUGUCUUAAAUAAUGCUGUGAAGUUAUUGAAAUGUCAGCCUAUGGUUCAGCUUGAAUAAGUUUGAGAUAUUUAAAAAACAUUUUUGCCUUUCUAAAUAACUUUAACCUGGGCAUUUUUUUUUUACCUGUAUGGGAGGUCUUUGAACUCCAGAAAUAAUGACUUCUCUGCAACUGUCAGGAGAGAGAACUAUACUGUCAUUUAGUAAAAUAAUAAAUUUUGUUUUGCCAUUAAAUUUGGUAAUUGUUAGUGCACCAUCUCAACGACUGUUUGAUCAUGAGCUAUUCUAAUGUUA